UACAGAGGUCUCAAGCGUUGUUCGGAUUCAUUGGGCGUAAAGGGUGCGUAGGCGGCGCGGUAAGUCGGGUGUGAAAUCUUGGAGCUUAACUCCGAAACUGCAUUCGAUACUGCCGUGCUUGAGGACUGGAGGGGAGACUGGAAUUUACGGUGUAGCGGUGAAAUGCGUAGAUAUCUGGAGGAACACCGGUGGCGAAGGCGGCAUCCUGGACCGACACUGACGCUGAAAAGCGAAAGCCAGGGGAGCAAACGGG
Molecule: ribosomal RNA, 253 nt
Filed under: uncultured bacterium
Lineage: Bacteria
Description: partial 16S ribosomal RNA
Rfam family: Bacterial small subunit ribosomal RNA
Source: RNAcentral